Molecule: long non-coding RNA, 2318 nt
Organism: Oncorhynchus tshawytscha (Chinook salmon)
Lineage: Eukaryota; Metazoa; Chordata; Actinopteri; Salmoniformes; Salmonidae
Source: Ensembl
AGUGGUGGAGAGGAGGGGAGGGUUGAGGGGUGGCGGAGAGGAGAGAAGGGUUGAGGGGUGGUGGAGAGGAGAGGAGGGUUGAGGGGUGGUGGAGAGGAGAGGAGGGUUGAGGGGUGGCGGAGAGAAGAGAAGGGUUGAGGGGUGGCGGAGAGGAGAGGAGGGUUGAGGGGUGGUGGAGAGGAGAGAGAAGGGUUGAGGGGUGGCGGAGAGGAGAGAAGGUUUGAGGAGUGGCGGAGAGGAGAGAAGGGUUGAGGGGUGGCGGAGAGGAGAGGAAGGUAGAGGGGUGGCAGAGAGGAGAGGAGGGUUGAGGAGUGGAGGAGAGAAGAGAAGGGUUGAGGGGUGGCGGAGAGGAGAGGAGGGUUGAGGGGUGGCGGAGAGGAGAGAAGGGUUGAGGGGUGGCGGAGAGGAGAGAAGGUUUGAGGAGUGUCGGAGAGGAGAGAAGGGUUGAGGGGUGGCGGAGAGGAGAGGAAGGUAGAGGGGUGGCAGAGAGGAGAGGAGGGUUGAGGAGUGGCGGAGAGGAGGAGGAGGGUUGAGGGCUGGCGGAGAGGAGAGAAGGGUUGAGGGGUGGUGGAGAGGAGGGUUGAGGGGUGGUGGAGAGAAGAGAAGGGUUGAGGGGUGGCGGAGAGGAGAGGAGGGUUGAGGGGUGGCGGAGAGGAGAGAAGGGUUGAGGGGUGGCGGAGAGGAGAGAAGGUUUGAGGAGUGUCAGAGAGGAGAGAAGGGUUGAGGGGUGGCGGAGAGGAGAGGAAGGUAGAGGGGUGGCAGAGAGGAGAGGAGGGUUGAGGAGUGGAGGAGAGGAGAGGAGGGUUGAGGGGUGGCGGAGAGGAGAGAAGGGUUGAGGGGUGGCGGAGAGGAGAGAAGGGUUGAGGGGUGGCGGAGAGGAGAGAAGGGUUGACGGGUGGCGGAGAGGAGAGAAGGGUUGAGGGGUGGCGGAGAGGAGAGAAGGGUUGAGGGGUGGCGGAGAGGAGAGAAGGGUUGAGGGGUGGCGGAGAGGAGAGGAGGGUUUAGGAGUGGCGGAGAGAAGAGAAGGGUUGAGGGGUUGCGGAGAGAACAGGAGGGUUGAGGGGUGGCGGAGAGGAGAGGAGGUUUGAGGAGUGGCGGAGAGGAGAGGAGGGUUGAGGAGUGGCAGAGAGGAAAGGAGGGUUGAGGGGUGGCGGAGAGGAGAGGAGGGUUGAGGAGGGGCGGAGAGGAGAGGAGGGUUGAGGGGUGGCGGAGAGGAGAGGAGGGUUGAGGGGUGGCGGAGAGGAGAGGAGGGUUGAGGAGUGGCGGAGAGAGGAGGGUUGAGGGGGGGCGGAGAGGAGAGGAGGGUUGAGGGGUGGCGGAGAGGAGAGGAGGGUUGAGGGGUGGCGGAGAGGAGAGGAGGGUUGAGGAGUGGCGGAGAGGAGAGGAGAGGAGGUUUGAGGAGUGGCGGAGAGGAGAGGAGAGAAGGGUUGAGGGGUGGCGGAGAGGAGAGGAGGGUUGAGGGGUGGCGGAGAGGAGAGGAGGGUUGAGGAGUGGCGGAGAGGAGGGUUGAGGAGUGGCGGAGAGGAGAGGAGGGUUGAGGGGUGGCGGAGAGGAGAGGAGGGUUGAGGGGUGGCGGAUAGGAGAGGAGGGUUGAGGAGUGGCGGAGAGGAGAGGAGAGGAGGUUUGAGGAGUGGCGGAGAGGAGAGGAGAGAAGGGUUGAGGGGUGGCGGAGAGGAGAGGAGGGUUGAGGGGUGGCGGAGAGGAGAGAAGGGUCAAGGGGUGGCGGAGAGGAGAGAAGGGUUGAGGGGUGGCGGAGAGGAGAGGAGGUGUGAGGAGUGGCGGAGAGGAGAGAGGAGGGUCGAGGGGUGGCGGAGAGGAAAGGAAGGUUGAGUAGUGGUGGAGAGGAGGGUUGAGGAGUGGCGGAGAGGAGAGGAGGUUUGAGGAGUGGCGGAGAGGAGAGGAGGUUUGAGGAGUGGCGGAGAGGAGAGGAGGUUUGAGGAGUGGCAGAGAGGAGAGGAGGGUCAAGGAGUGGCGGAGAGGAGAGGAGGGUUGAGGGUUGGCGGAGAGGAGAGGAGGUUUGAGGAGUGGCGGAGAGGAGAGGAGGUUGAGGGGUGGUGGAGAGGAGAGGAGGGUUGAGGGGUGGCGGAGAGGAGAGGAGAGGAGGUGUGAGGAGUGGCGGAGAGGAGAGGAGGGUUGAGGGGUGGCGGAGAGGAGAGGAGGUUGAGGGGUGGUGGAGAGGAAAGGAAGGUUGAGGAGUGGUGGAGAGGAGGGUUGAGGAGUGGCGGAGAGGAGAGGAGAGUUGAGGGGUGGCGGAGAGGAGAGAAGGGUUGAGGGGUGGUGGAGAGGAGAGUUGAGGGGGCAGAGAGGAGGGGGUGGCG